This 30773-nucleotide long non-coding RNA is filed under the name Prunus persica (peach). Its description in RNAcentral is "long non-coding RNA (PPER_LNC007488)". The record is from RNAcentral. Lineage: Eukaryota; Viridiplantae; Streptophyta; Magnoliopsida; Rosales; Rosaceae.
UGCGCUAUCAAUUCGGUAGCUAAGUCAUUUUUGAAGAGUGCAAAGUCCACAAUCUGCAGACCAGGGCUUGGACUGCUGAAGCUAGGAAAUGCAAUGGCCGGAGUGUCACCUCCAUUCACUUGGAAGUGCAAUAGUCCUUGAGGGAACACGAUAAUGUCACCCUUCUUAAGAGUUUUCAGAUAAGGUGUGUUAUCUGAGGCAACAAACCCGGCAAUUAUUGUCCCUUGGACAACAAGUAAAACUUCUGAAGCUCCGGGGUGAGUGUGAAAGGGGACAACUCCACCCGGACCCAGGUCUAAACGAGCCAGUGAAAUGCCAAGGCCAUUCACACCAGGAAAUUGGGCAGCAAAUGCAGGGGUGACUGCUGCUUUGAAGAUAUUUGUGGUGUUACCAGCAAUGCCUAGGCCUGAGUACACAAAAUCAUUGACGGUAACUAUUGCGGGCUUUUUGCAAGAGUAGCCUGCAGGGCCAUCAGGAGCUUUGUAGUCUGCAACACAGAAGUCUUGCACAGAGGCAUGGGAAGUGGAGAGGAGGAGAAAAAAUGUGAAGAAGAUAGGGAAAAUCAUCUUGGCUGAGUGUAGCAGGUAUUUGUUUAAGCCUUUUUGAGGUGUGCUUCUGUAAAGCAAAUUGGGAUUUACAUAUAUAGCGGGAUAAAGCGAAUAUCUUGAACCACUGCAAUUGGUUGGUACUAGGUAGGAAUUUGCCCAUAUAGGACUCACAUGCAGGGGCGGUGGCAGGGUAGGCAGCCGCCAACUCCAUUUUUUGCCAAACUAAAAAUUACUCAAUACCCAAUACAAUCAAAUUUCUUCUGUUUACUCAAACCCAACCCACCAGGGGCAGUCCUACCCUAAGAGCAGGGUAGGCAGCGGCUACUCCAUUUUUUGCCAAACCAAAAAUUAUCCAAUACCCAAUACAAUCAAAUUUCUUCUGCCUACUCAAACCCAACCCGCUCAAAUUUUUUCCUUUAACAAAAACAAUAGCCUAGCACACUCAAACUUUCUCCUUUAACAAGAACAAUAAAAAGCAAUAUAAGCAUGUGAAAGAUGUGAAAGUUGUAUGAAGAUUUUUUUUUUUUUUAAAAUUACAAAAAAGGUGGUAGGAGUGUCACCUCUUCGAGCCGGGCACGAAUUAUGGGAAAGUUCUCCCCAAGAGGUUCGUUACACAUGCAGAGGAUCGAACUCAGGACCUCAGUGUGGAGCCCGAUCACAUUCGCCCAACAUGUGUGGCCUAGCCCAUUCAAUUUUCCACUAGACCAAACCCACUUGGGUAUGGAGAUAUUUUUCAACGUUGACUAACAUUGUGAAUUUUGUUAGUGCGUCUGCUAAGCGCUGUAAUGAGUUAAAUUUAUUUCGAAAAGCUAAACUCAAAGAGUUGUUAGAUUUUGGGGAACUUGAGACAGAUAGAAGACUUAAUCAAGGUCGUAGUUUGAAACGAGCUGGAGCCGCUCGUUGGGGAUCUCACUUUGCCUCUAUUACAAGUUUGAUGAGUUUAUUUAAAGAGACUAAAAUACUUCUCCAAGAAAUCAGUGAUUAUGGACCUAACCAACAAUUUCAUGGCAAUGCAAAGAGUAACUAUAUUGCUAUGAUGUCUUUUGAGUUUGUGUUUUCAUUGUUUUUGAUUGAUAAAAUAAUGGGAUUGACCAACUUUCUUUGUCAACUGUUUCAGACAAAAACCUAAGAUAUUGCAAGUGCUUUAAACUUUGUUGAAAACACGAAAUCACAGUUCCAAGAUAUGAGGGCACAUGACUGGGAUGAUUUAUUCAUGGGUGUGGUAUCAUUUUGUGAACAACAUGGUAUUAAUGUUCCUGAUAUGAGUUCUCGUUAUAUGAGUCCCUACCAUAAGAAUGAGGAAACCCGCUUCUUUAUUAUAUUUUGUAAAUAUCUCUUCCUUCCCUUCCAAAGAAUAUUUUUCUUAGAAGUCGGCGAAUCGUAAAAGGACUUGUAUAAAAUGAUUGCUAUCUUUCGGCUUUCCACUUACCCGGUUCCCCACGCGGCGAAUGGGUACGUCCGGGGUCGAUCGUAUAGAUUGACGCAAAAUUUUUUUAUUUUAACGAAUCGUGCCGCCGAAGAAACCUCACCCUAACCACAUAAAGCCAAAAAAUUAGCGGUCGUUUUUGUCAAUAAAAAGAUUUUAUUACAGUUGAACAUUACUAUUACAUUAAUGUAUUUAAUGAUGUGAUAGAUUGCAUGGUGAGGGAGUUAAAUGACAGAUUUCUAGAGCAAACAGUUAAACUUUUUAUUUUUAGCUCAGCAUUUGAUCAUCGUAAUUCCUUCAAAUCAAUCAAUAUUGGGCAUCUAUGUAAACUUGCUGAGAAAUUCUAUCAUGCUGAUUUCAGUCCAAGUGACUUGAAAGCUUUAGAAAUUGGGAUGAGGUAUUUCAAAAUGAUAAGCAUCGCCUUCCCCGCUUUAAGGACCUCACCACUCUUCCUCAGUUAUGUCAACAAUUGGUGGAAACAACUUUGGGAGAAAACUACUAUUUGCUUUACAAGUUGAUUUAGUUGGUGUUGACUCUUCAUGUUUCUACAGCAACAAAGAACGAGCUUUUUCAUUUAUGAGAAUUAUUAAGAAUAGACUUUGGAGCACCAUAGCUGAUGAAUUCCUUACUGAUUGCAUGAUUCUCCACAUUGAAAGAGAGUUUGCUCAUAAUAUCGAUAAUGAAGAGAUAAUUGAGGAAUUUAAGAUUUUUAAGCCUUGCAGGGUAAAGUUUUAGAUUUAAAUAGUUUAGUUUUGUGUUGCAUUGCAUUUACUUCUUGUUUUUCUGUUAAGCGUUUAUUUAUAUAUAGAUAUGCAUAUUUGAUGGUAAGGCUCAUUACGUCCCCCCUAACUAGAUGUAUCUUUUUCUUCUUUUUUUUGUGCCCCUAAAGUGAUAAUUUGUUAGCCUUUUCCCAUCUGUGUUCUAUAGCUAUGACCAAUCAAACAGAUGAAGUAUAUAUUCAGCAUAUGCUGCAACUAUUUUCCUGAAUUGAUCAAUACAUUAACAAAAUAUAUAGGCUUAUUUCAUGUGUUGCUAGUACUGAAGGUUGUGUUUUAAGAUUUGAAGUCCAGCAGGAGAAGCCGAAAAAUGGUGAGCAGAUUGUGGUCCUUGAGAAAAUGGGGAAAGAUAUUCCAGGGAAGCCAUUUUGACUGCUAAAAGGUGCCAGAGGACUGGGAAUUCUGUGGAUAUCAGAAAUUCCCCUUCUUGUAGGGUUCUUGGAUUUCAAUAUAGGAUGGUAAAAAGUCUUUACAACUUCUGUCUCUUUCUGGUGUAUCUUUACUAAGAUUCUUCUAGAGUUCACCUUAUCAUCGGAAGAUGGCACCAACACCACAUUGAUUUUACUUGAAUAUGAGCCAAUGAUUACCAAAAAAGAAAAAAGAAAAACAAAUUUGUAUGAGAGCAAAUGUAGAAUAAUGUAUGGACAAUUAAUUCAACCUCAAUUAUGUGUUAUGACAUAAUGGAAAAACUCAUAUUCAUAUAAAGAUAUAGACAAUCUAAUCUCAAUUGUGUUAUGUUAAUAAGUAAUUUUUUCGUCCUUAACCAAGUUGACAGAGAAAAAUUAAGGAGUCCCAAGCGCAUUGCUCUUACACCCGCACCGUGUACACCCGCCUUUGUAACACUUUCCCGGCUCAUGGACGCCCGUCACCUGGAGUCAGUAAAAUAUGUACAAUGUAGACAUCAUAAGAAGAAAGCAGCACUAUCACUUACAUCAACCACAAGAAUACCACCUGCCACUUCCUCAUCCUCAAAGUCCUGCAUACCAGUUAUAUAUUGGGGAAGGUUAGAAAAACAGCUGGAAGAAGUACUAAGAAGAAAGGAGCAAUAUCACUUACAUCAUCAACAAUAUGAAUACCACCCGCCACUUUCUCAAGGUCCUGCAUUCCAGUUAUAUAUUGUGAAUUGAAAAUUAGAGAAACAGCUGGAAGGAGAACUAAAUUAACAUGUACCUUUAUGUACAACAUGGUUUAAAAUUCAAAUCACUUUAUGCACCUCUAUAUAGGAACCAUUGGGACCAAAAAGAAGUGUUUUCAGUUCGGAAUGUUGUUCCUGCACAAAAUAUAGAUUAGACCAAAGGCUCAUAUUACUUGCCUAAUGCUCACAUUAAUUCCAAAUUUGAUAAAAAUUAUGAAGAUCAAGCAAAAUCUUUAACACCAUGUUCCAGUGCUGAAGUUAAGAAGUACGCCACUUAAUUAAUGGUGUGCAGAAAGGAAAUAAUACACAGCUGUUUAAUUGUUUUUGCUAGAUGUUUUUCUAACUGUUGGCAAUAUAAUUGGGGUGCAGGCACUUUAAAAACUGGCAGGUUGUAAUGUUGUUCUUGCUGAGGUAAGUGUUACAGUUGCUUUGUGAUUUUGAUGGCUACAUUGCUUGCACAUCUUGUUCUAUCUAAUAUUUUUAAUUUGCAUGUAAACUAUCAGUGGAAGGAGGCAUUAUUUUAGCUAUAGGCCCAUUUGAAGGAUUAAGGUUGAUGAGGACAUUCAUGGAAGACUGCAUUGUUUGCAACGGUUCCCCUCGAAACCCUUAUCCGUCGGGUUAGAGAUGUGGAUCGUAUGGCUGUUUACGGUAAUCUGCGUUAUAUCUCUGGUGACGGCUUUGAGUGCAAGGAAUGAUUUUGGAGCCGUUGCCUUCUUUUCUCUGUGAAUUCUGAAUUCUAUAUGGGGUCGAGAGUAGUAUUGAACAUUAGUAUAUUAAACAAUUUCCUCCGUUCAUCAAACAUUAUUUUGGUAUAUAUAGUUACCAACUUUCCAUAUUAUCCUUACUUUUUCAAAUUUUUUUCUUAACAAUACGAUAUUCUAAACUACUCUAAAAUACGGGGAGGGAGAUUUGAGCUUAGGUGCAACUGGGUGGACACAGCUGCUAAUGCGUAUGCUCCUUAGUUUCAAAUCUAUUAUUUGAUUAGUUCGGGGUUUUAGAGUAUAUUAUAUCAUUCUUAUUUCUUGAUUGACAAAGCAGGUUAUCUUAAUAAUAUAGAUAUUACAACGAAUCUGGACCUGGAGAUGCAUUGUCAUCUUAAUUAAGAUACAAAUAGAUGGGGCAUUUGCCUUCAACACAAUGAUACUUCUACAAGCAUACAAAAAGCACGAACUAGAGUAAAAUUUUACUGGUAAUGCAGAAACUGCCACUGGGCAAAACAAUCCUAAACUUACAGGCCUUCUCAAUCACAACAAGAAAACAAAGGGACAUGAAAUAAAAGAAAGAUUCAAUCUUUAGUGACCUUCUUCCUCUUCGGUAUCUCAAUAGACCUUAAUUAGUGCCACCAAGAACACCCUUAAGCUUCUUUAUCUGAGCAGCAUCAAGGAAAGUAGUCUGCGCUAUCAAUUCGGUAGGUAAGUCAUUUUUGAAGAGUGCAAAGUCCAGAAUCUGCAGACCAGGGCUUGGACUGCUGAAGCUAGGAAAUGCAAGGGCCGGAGUGCCACCUCCAUUCACUUGGAAGUGCAAUAGUCCUUGAGGGAACACCAUAAUGUCACCCUUCUUAAGAGUUUUCAGAUAAGGUGUGUUAUCUGAGGCAACAAACCCGGCAAUUAUUGUCCCUUGGACAACAAGUAAGACUUCUGAAGCUCCGGGGUGAGUGUGAAAGGGGAUAACUCCACCCGGACCCAGGUCUAAACGAGCCAGUGAAAUGCCAAGGCCAUUCACACCAGGAAAUUGGGCAGCAAAUGCAGGGGUGACUGCUGCUUUGAUGAUAUUUGUGGUGUUACCAGCAAUGCCUAGGCCUGAGUACACAAAAUCAUUGAUGGUAACUUUUGCAGGCUUCUUGCAAGAGUAGCCUGCAGGGCCAUCAGGAGCUUUGUAGUCUGCAACACAGAAGUCUUGCACAGAGGCAUGGGAAGAGGAGAGGAGGAGAAAAAAUGUGAAGAAGAUAGGGAAAAUCAUCUUGGCUGAGUGUAGCAGGUAUUUGUUUAAGCCUUUUUGAGGUGUGCUUCUGUAAAGCAAAUUGGGAUUUACAUAUAUAGCGGGAUAAAGUGAAUAUCUUGAACCAUUGCAAUUGGUUGGUAGGAAUGUGCCCAUGUAGGACUCACAUGUGGAAAGAUGUUAAGCAUACGGCAAACGACAGAUUUCAAGCUAGCUGUGAUGCAUGUGAACAUGAUAUUUUCUUCAUAUAACAACAAGAAGCCUCUUUUUGCUUUUGAAAAUGCAGUAACAGCAAGAUCUUAUUAAGAAAACAACUGACCUACGGUUUCAGAGUUAUCACUAAUUAAUCAUGCUGCAUAUCUAACAAGAGAAUCCAAGGUUUUGUUUUAAGAUUAAAAGUCCUUGAAGGUCUGAAAAAGGCACAACAGAUUGCGGUCCUUGAGGUUUGAGCACAUGGGAGAAAGAUAUUAUGGGGGCAUAAGAAGACAUUUUGACAGCUAAAAGGAGGCAGGAAAAUGGGAAUGUGUGGCUAUGAGAAGUUCCCCUUCUUGCAGGGUGCUUGGAUUUCAUUAUUGAGAACUGUAAAGUCUUCUCAAAUUCUGUCUCUUUGUAUGUCUUAGCUGCAAUAUUCCUCUAGAGUUGAGUCAAUGUAGAAACUUAUAUUACAAAUUACACAUCGUGCCUUGAGCUUCAUGCACGUAAUAUCGAUGCCUCAGUUGAAGUUUCUCACUAAUAUGCUUUAUAGCAGUGGAUUUUCAAAACAAUGCCCCUAUAAGUUAUGCUACGUUCUAUUUACCAACAUUUACUGUCAAUUUUUUUUACGCAGAUUUGGCUUAGAGACAAACGAAAUGUGGCGGUAACUUUUCUCUUUUGGUCAUAAUCUGUGGUUAAUUUGAGUUCAGUUACUUCAUUACUCAGUUGCAGAAUGUAAAAAUGAGAAGGAAUCUUUUCUUUUGCCUAGGUCUAAAAUCCUAUAUUUUGCGUGUGUGGUGUUUAUAGAAGCUUUCAAGAUAAGGUUAUGAGCUUUUAGGAUAACCAUCCGCAGGGUGUAGCCUUCCAUCUUUCACUUUCAGCCAACAAAUACAAAAGCUCCGUACAGAAUUUUGUUUGUGAAGUUGUCCAAAACACUAUGAUAUGUGCCACUGAUUCUAAAUACAAAAAAAUAUAGAUACAAUAGUAUAGAAUGAGUUAUAUAUCAACAGUACAUUAUACAAUUCUGAGUGAAGGAAAAAAGGUACAUAUAAAAUUCUUUGCAUGUAAAGAAUCUGAAGAUCAAGAUUUAAACACAGAAUGUCAUGCUUAAAUAGAAAAAAGGUUAUGAGCAACACCCAGAAACCAAAUCACCAAAAGCUAAAUUCAAAUCAAAAACCAGAAAAGGGAGUUCUGCCCAUUUCUCAUGAACCAAAUCACCAAAAGCUAAAUAUGAACUUAAAUGGAUGAGAUUUGAGGAUUUGAAGGAAUGAGAGAAAAUGAUGGGACAGUCCCUCCAAUAAAGCAUGAGGUUCAUGAAAUUUCAUUACAUUAGAAAAUAAAGCUUCAAAGGGGAAAAUGAUAAAUAAGUUUUUGGUAUUUCCUGUUUGUUCAAAAAAAGAAAAAAAAAAGAAAAAAAAAAGUAGGGAUAGAUUGAAUGGUUGAGGAUGAAUGAGAAGAUUGAGCAUUGUGCAAAUCUUGUUUGCAAUACUGGUUUCCUUAAUUAUGUUAAGUGAAAAGUAAUAUGAAAAUAAAUUAAAUAUCAAUCUCUUUUUGUUAUUUAUUGGACAAUGUGGGUAAAGUCAAAAUGUCAAAAGGAAAAAAAGCUCGUAGAAGAAGAAAAAGUAGGUCCAGUAAAGUGACUAGGCAAUAUCGAAUUAAAUUAAAUAUGUAUAGAAAGAAGAAUGGCAAAAUCUGGCAAUAUAAAAAUGAAAAGGAAGAACAGGAAUGAUAGUAUCCACAGAAAUCUGUCCAUGGGAUCUUAAUUACUGCACCUCCUGGGUUAACAUUCCAAAUGUACCAUCUUUUUCCAAACUGUUGCACGCUGAUUUGAAGGGGAAAAUCCCCAUCCAAUUGUUGUACAUCUUCAGCUGUGUCUGACUUGUGUCUCCUCAUAAAAGAAAAUCUGAGGAAAAGUUAAACAAUUAGAAUACAACAUUAAAACCAGGCAAGCAUCAUGGAUUAGUGGUAAGGAUUAAAGUCAGCAAAUCCAGUCUUAAAACAGGCAUACUAAUUGAGUACUUCUGUCAGUAUAUAUAUGGAAUGGACUCUAAAUUUGACCCAAGGUUGAAGUUGUUUAAGGAAAAGAGACCUCAUUUUAUCAUCUCCUUCAGGUAAUUACCUAAUUCCCUCUGGCCACUUGGGGUUGUGUUAGCUUGAUAUACAUUGCUAAUCCCAUUUCUUGGCAACUUUUUGUUGGAUCUAGUGGUUCCCUUUUGAAAUUAUCCCAAGGGAUAAAUUCCCAAUAGUUUUAAUAGUAAAAUAAAUUUUACAGGUUGUUAUUUUCUGGAUUCUACAUUAACACUUUAAUCAUGCUCCUUUGCAUAUCAAUAACAAAUUAAUCUAAUUAGAAACAUUGGACAUUCUUGACAGAAAUUAUUUACUUACGUACACUAAUCCAAUACUAAUCACCAGGCACUGAGUGAUCAAAAGUGAUGGAAGUACUGCAUUGGAUUGCAUUCAUUCUGUCCAUUUUAGCAACCAUUCACAACCAUAUAGGCCUUGUGGAAGCUUCUACUGACAUAGGUGUUUGCUAUGGAAUGUUAGGAGAUGAGCUCCCUGCUGCUACAGAAGUGGUUAAUCUGUACAAAAAAUAUGGCAUUGGCAAAAUCAGACUUUAAUCCAAAUCCUGCAGCACUCCAAGCACUGAGAGGGAGCAAUAUCGACGUCACUCUAGGCAUCCCGAAUGAAGAAAGCCAAUUUGGCAGGAAGUCAAGGUGCUGUGAACACAUGGUUUGCAGCCAAUGUAGAGCCCUAUGUAAAUGACAUUGUCUUCAAUCACAUUGCUGUUGGCAAUGAGGUCAUUCCUGGUUCCUUGGCCGAGCACAUUUUGCCUGUCAUGAAGUAUCUACAGAACGUCAUAAAUGACAAAAACUUAGAUGGUAUUAAGGUGACCACUGUUUUGUCAGGGACUGCAUUAGCAUCGUCAUAUCCGCCUUCAAAUGGCGCAUUCAAACCAGGGGCAAGCAAUGUUAUGAGUGCCAUUCUUGCAUUUUUAUCGGCACGAGGAUCACCCCUUAUGAUCAAUGUGUAUCCUUACUUUGCCUACUCAUCUGACCCUGCCAAUAUACACUUGAACUACGCUCAAUUCACUGCAACUAGUCUUGUGGUUCAGGACGGGGCCCUGAGCUAUUAUAACCUGUUUGAUGCCACGGUGGAUGCUUUUUUUCGCAGCAAUGGAGAAAGCAGGAGGGGGCGGUGUUGGUGUUGUGGUGUCUGAGAGUGGUUGGCCUUCUGAUGGUAAUGGAGAUUUCACCACUCCAGAACUUGCAAGGACAUAUAACAGGAAUUUCUUGAAGCACAUAACCUCAAAGGCAGGGACACCAAAAAGACCUGGUGCUUACAUUGAGGGGUACAUUUUUGCCAUGUUCAAUGAGAAUCAGAAACCUGAAGGUGUGGAGCAGCAUUUCGGACUUUUUCAUCCUAACAUGCAACCUGUUUAUCCUGUGUUUUAAAUCAAGACACACCAAGUUUCAAGUCAAAUUAUGUAUCUAUAAUGUAAUAAAGACGUGAGUGAUCUUGAAAUUUGGGAUAAACAAUCAAUUCCCAAUAGUAUCUAUGUUGGUAGCAAUACAAAAUUGCUUCACCAUUGUUGGGAAAUUGUGAUCUUCUUGAUGCCUUUUAAUUAUAAUUUCAUGUUGUUUCAUUCUCUUUCUUUAUUUUUGUUUUUUGUUUCAGUCUCUCUCGGAAAAUAGCAGAGCAUUUGGAUUCUGGUAAAAUGAAGUUGGAUUUGAGGAAUCAAAGAAAUGAGAGGAAAGGGUAGGAAGAAAAUGAGGGUAUCUUUGAUUGCCUCCUCACAUGUCGGGUUAUUUAAGCCUAACAUUUUGGGUGAUGUGGGAUGUGGGGCGUGGGACGUUGGGCUCAACACGUGGACAUUAUGCUUUGAUAUCGCAUCAAAAUAUGAGCAUGCAACCCAAAACUAAUCGACAAUGAAUUAGUAAUUCAAUUCCCCGAUAUGGGAGGAUCCUCAAAUAAAUGCAGCAUAAGGUUUCAUGAAGUAUUACAACAUCGAGUUUCGUUAACUUGGUAGUCAAGUAUCAUGCUCGAUAUCAUUUCGCAUAUCAAAUUUAAAGUUCGCCUAGAGCUAGUGAUUUUCUUUUUGACACUAGAAAUCCGAUUUUUUUUUUAAUAGAAUCGUUUACUAAAGAAAAUCAAAUCAUUAUAAGCGGUGUAAUUUAAGCCUGAACCAAUAUUUUCAUUUAUUAAAGAAAUCACAGAAGAAGAUACUCUUGCACUCCAGAAUCAAUAUUUUUAUCAUUAUCAAAGUAAUAUCUACCUGUAAAUUCCUCAAGUUUGUCUGGAUUCAUUGUAUCUGCUAGCUGUUCAUAGCUUUGCACUUGUUUUAGGGAUUUAAUUACUGCCAUAAAAUACUUAAUUUUAAGGAUUUAAUUACUGCAGUAAAUUGCUUAAGUAAAUGCAUUUACUUGCUAUUAUUGGCCAACUCUUGUAAAUAUAAAAUCUCCCCUCUAUGAGAUGAAUAAUUCUCAGAAAAUUCACAGCCUUUUCGGACCGACUGCUAGCUUCUUUUAAGGUACGGGUCAUGCUAGGGAGACCAACUUUAGAUACCAACUUGUGUACCAACUCUCUAAUAGAGGUGGAGCCCACCAAUACAAUGGGGUCCCACACUCUAUUAAAAGAGUUGGUACACAAGUUGGUAUCUAAAGUUGGUCUCCCUAGCAUUUUCCUUAAGGUACAUACUGCUAGCUCCAAACUUUUUGCCUUUUUCUUUUUUUUCUUUUUUUUGUCACUCGUUAAUUUAUUUAUGUAUACUACUGCAGGUGUAAAUAUUAGCAGGCACUCCGUAAGCAGAAAGUGAUGGCAGCAGUGCCUUGGGUUGCACUCUUUCUGUCCUUUGCAGCAACCAUCCACAACCAUAUAGGCCUUGUGGAAGCUUCAGUUGACAUAGGUGUUUGCUAUGGAAUGUUAGGAGAUGACCUCCCUGCUGCUACAGAAGUGGUUAAUCUGUACAAAAUAAACGGUAUCGGCAAGAUGAGGCUCUUUGAUCCUAAUCCGGCCGCACUCGAAGCACUGAGAGGGAAAGAAAUUGAUGUCAGUCUAGGCAUUCGAAACGAAGACUUGCCCCAAUUGACAGGAAGUGCAGAUGCUGUGAACUCAUGGUUUGCAACCAAUGUAGAGCCCUACCUGAAUGACAUUGUCUUCAAUUACAUUUCUGUUGGCAAUGAGGUUAUUCCAGGGUCCUUAGGCAUCUAUGUUUUGCCUGUAAUGCAGUCUCUACAGAAAAUUCUCGAUGAUAGAAACUUGGCUGGUAUUAAGGUGUCCACAGUUGUGCCAGGGUCUGCCUUAGGAGUUUCAUUUCCACCUUCAAGUGGCGAGUUCGCACUAGAGGCAAGCAGUGUCAUGAGUGGCAUUGUUGCAUUUUUAGCACAGCGAGGAUCACCCCUUCUGAUCAAUGUGUAUCCCUACUUUUCUUAUGCAUCAGACCCUGUCAAUAUUCGCUUAGACUAUGCUCAAUUUACCGCAACAAGUCCAGUGGUUAAGGAUGGGGAGUUGAGCUAUUAUAACCUGUUUGAUGCCGCAGUUGAUUCUUUUCUGGCAGCAAUGGAAAAAGUAGGCGGGGCAAAUGUCGAUGUGGUGGUGUCUGAGAGUGGUUGGCCUUCUGAUGGGAAUGGAAAUUUCACCACUCCAGAACUUGCAGGGACAUAUAACAGGAACUUCUUGAAACAUAUAACCUCAAACGCUGGGACACCGAAAAGACCUGGUGCUUACAUUGAGGGGUACAUUUUUGCCAUGUUCAAUGAGAAUCAGAAACCUGAAGGUGUGGAGCAGCAUUUCGGACUUUUUCAUCCUAACAUGCAACCUGUUUAUUCUAUAUAUUAAAGAUCCAAGACCAAGCACAUCAGCUAUCUUAGCCUAGUGGUAGUUUUCUUCCCAACAUCGAAUUAGGUCUAAAGUUCGAAUUCCCUCCCUACUCCCUCCCAUCAACUUAGUAUAGUGGUAGUUCUCUUCCCAACAUAGUAUUAGGUCCCAAGUUCAAAUUAUUUUCCCAUUCAUGACAAAUCAUGUAUCGAUAACAUAUCAAUAAAGAGUUAAUUAUGCAUUCAAACAUCUGAAAUCUCUGUGUUUUUUUUUUCUUGUGAGUUAUCUGAUCUUGUAUUUUUGAACAUUACAACAUUGACUAUUUAAGGUUUGGGUUGGUUUAUACACAGUAACCAAAUUAUAUUAUCCUGCUCACUUGAAUGGCUUUGAAAUGAUCUCUGUUCUUUUCUUUUUUAUUUAUCUCUGAACAAGUAAUUUAUUUUUUUAAACCGGGUAAUACAAUAUCCACAAAGAACAAGAAAAGUUUCAAAACCAAGAGAGUGGUUCCCCUUUCCCAGUUGCUUUGCUCUGAAAAGGGUAGUUUGUAUUGUAUGUACCCAACAACAGGUUCUUGGGUGUAGAAAGUCUUCCUGUUGUACUUGGUCAAGGGUGCAUUAAGCUUAAAUCUCAAAACCCAGUCAAGGUUUGAGAUAAAAAGGUGACCAUACGACACUAAAAGCAUCCCAGCAACAAACAUACCCUGUUAAGCUUUUCUUAAAGUCCUAUCUACCAUGAAACCUGUUUAUCCUUUAUUUUAAGACCAGGAGUCCAAGACAGGACAGGUUUCAUGGGAAUUCAUGAGUUCAUGCAGAAAACCAAAGCUUCAUAAGGGAAAAUGGACAACUAAACUUUUGCACCUUCUGUUUGUUCACAACAUUUCCUUAUGGAGAAAAAAAUAUAAAAGGAAUGGUACAAUGAAUAACAUGCAUCCACAGAAAAUUUUCCAUUGGAUUGUCUUAGUUAAUUUGUGCACCUACAUAGAACACAGGUUAGCAUUCUAAAUCAUUCCAAAUUUGCUCUUUUCCAAAAAAGUUCAUACUUAUCUUAACCUCUACUUAAUAUAUAAUGCCAGAUACGUAAACAAAACCUCAUGUAGAUGCUGUAGUUCACCUGUGUAUUGUCUCUCAAUUAGGACAGAACACCUAAAGCCAGACAAGCUUCAUGGACGUAGACAGUAAGAAAACUCCAAGCCAGAAAAUCCAGUCUCAAAAGAGGCACAUUAGUUGAACCUUGUACUUGUUACAUAACACAUUGUUGGUAUAUAUAUAGGAGUGGACACUUAGCAAAUACUCAAGUUAGUUAAGGUAGACAGACUCCAAUUUUCGUUAUCUGGAUCAGGAAAUCUAAUCCUUCCUGCAGCAACCGGUGUGCACCAUAAAGCCGAUCAGUGUUCCUUGAGGUAGUAUCUUCAUGCUAGCUCCACACGUUUUGCUUUCUUGUGUGUCAAACAUUAAUUUAUUAAGUGCACUUAUGCAGGUUUAACAGGCACUCAGCAAUCAGAAAGUGAUGGCAGUACUGCAUUGGGUUGCAAUCAUUUUGUCCUUCGUAGCAGCUAGUCACAACCGUAUAGGCCUUGUGGAAGCUUCAAUUGACAUAGGUGUUUGCUAUGGAAUGUUAGGGAAUGACCUGCCUUCUCCAACACAAGUGGUAAAUCUCUACAAAACAUAUGGUAUUGGAAAGAUGAGGCUCUUUGAUCCUAACCCAGAAGCACUCCAAGCACUCAGAGGAAGCCAAAUUGAUGUCAGUAUAGGCAUUCGAAAUGAAGACUUACCCAGUUUGGCAGUUAGUCAAGAUGCUGUAAACUCAUGGUUUGCAACCCACGUAGAGCCUUACCUUAAUGACAUUGUCUUCAAUCACAUUACGGUUGGCAAUGAGAUUAUUCCCGGGUCCUCAGGCAACUAUGUUCUGCCUGUAAUGCAGUAUCUACAGAAGAUUCUCGACGAUAGAAGCUUGGCUGGUAUUAAGGUGACUACUGUUGUCUCAGGGGCUGCCUUAGGAGUUUCAUAUCCACCUUCAAGUGGUGCAUUCACACUAGAGGCCAGCAGUACCAUGAGUGGCAUUCUUCCGCUUUUAGCACAACGAGGAUCACCCCUUAUGAUCAAUGUGUAUCCUUACUUUGCCUACGCAUCAGAUCCUGUCAAUGUUCACUUAGACUAUGCUCAAUUUACUGCAACAAGUCCUGUGGUUCAAGAUGGGACGUUGAGCUAUUAUAACUUGUUUGAUGCCACAGUUGAUGCUUUUAUUGCAGCAAUGGAGAAAGUAGGCGGAGCUAACGUCGAUGUGGUGGUGUCUGAGAGUGGUUGGCCUUCUGAUGGGAAUGGAGAUUUCACUACUCCAGAACUUGCAGGGACAUAUAACAGGAAUUUAUUGAAGCAGGUAACCUCAAGGGCAGGGACACCAAAAAGACCUGGUGCUUACAUUGAAGCCUACAUUUUUGCCAUGUUCAAUGAGAAUCAAAAACCUGAUGGUGUGGAGCAACAUUUUGGGCUUUUUCAUCCUAACAUGAAACCUGUUUAUCCUGUAUUUUAAAGAUUCAGAACAAAAUAUCCUUCAUGUAUUAAUAAAGAUAUAGUUACACAAACAUCUCUAACAUUUUUUUGUGAGUUUUCCACUUGAUUUGAACUCUACAUCUGAAAAUUACAACACUGAGAAUUUAAGGUUUGGGUUUUGGUUUACAAAGCAAUAAGCAGAUAAAACUACCUCAGAAUCAUGUCGCGUAAAAUCAUGAAACCAAAUUUAACUACAUUAUUUAUACCAAAUAAUACAAUAUCCAAAAGGUAAAAGUACCAUUUCCAAAACACAAAAAUCAGAGGCGGGAGAGUGGUUCCUCUUUCCCAUUUGCAUUGCUCAGAAAAGGGUAGUCUGUGUACCCAACAACAGGGUCUUGCGUGUAGAAAGUCUUCCUGUUAUACCUGGUCAAAGGUGCAUUAAGCUUCAAUCUCAAAACCAAGUCGGGGUUCGAGAUAAAAAGGCGACCAUAAGACACUAAAUCAGCAUCCCUAGAAGCCACAGCAUGAAUUCCAAGCUCCCUAGUGUACCCACCACUAGCAACAAAUGUACCACGAUAAGCAUUUCUUAAAGUCCUCAUAAACACAGCUUCCUCUUCAUCACUGCCAGGUUUGCCAGAUUCGGUUUGGCCAUAUGCUGCGUAACGGGGCUGAGUAACAUGGAGAUAAGUGAGUUUUGAGCCCCAGUCUUGUUGAAGCUUGUUGAGCCUUUCAAUCACUCCAAGGCCUAGGGUAAGUGGAGCAGAGUCAACUGCAUCAAGGUGAUCAAUGGCUGGUGAGAUUCUGACACCAACCCUAUCAGCACCUACGGCUCCAACUACUGCUUGAACCACCUGAAGCAAGAAUUUGCAACGGUUUGCAAGUGAUCCGCCAUACUCAUCUGUUCGAUCAUUGAUCCCAUCUUUCAAGAAUUGAUCAAUGAGGUAGCCAUGUGCCCCAUGAAUCUCAAUUCCAUCAAAACCUACACAUCAUAAGAUUCAAAAUUAAAGCUUACUAGUAAGCACAAAGGUGACAUGCGCUUGACAAAAUCAUUGUAUGAAUUGAGAGAAACCGACCUGCUCUAAUGGCAUUCAAGGCAGCCUGUCGAUAAUGCUCCACCACUUGGAGGAUUUCAGGGGUUUCUAAGCGUCUAGGCUUAGGGUAAGUGGCAUGAGACGCAUCCGGUAAUAGAAUUCUCCACCUCCUCGAAAUGGGAACAUCGGUUGAAGAUAUUGGUGAACCCCCACCAGGUUGGUAAACUACAUCAAUUGACAAAUUACAAGUAAAAAUGGUCACUGAAAUGCUCCAAGCUUUAGACAAAAACUACCAUAAGAAUUGCCAAAUAAAGGACUAGGGUAGUUACCUUCAUGAGAAGCACGACCUACAUGCCAAAGUUGACAGAAAAUAAUGGCACCUUUGGCGUGAACGGCAUCCACCACCUUCUUCCAUGCCUCCACCUGUUCAUCAUUGUAAAUCCCAGGAACAUGUGGAAACCUGCAUCCACCUUAACAUUUAGUAUCACUUUGUAAAAUUCCCACUUCAAAUAACUUUAAGCUAUCUAGCAUAGCAUGUUACGUUGUCGGAUUGUAAAUCAAGUAAAAUAAUAGACCCGUCCGAUUAACUAACAGCCUUAAUUUAUAAUUUGAUAAGUAAAAUCCAGUAAAUUAUAAACAUUGAUUACUUAUGGAUGAGCAAUUAUAGGAAACUAGUUCUAUCUAGUCAAUAUUUGCAAGCAAACAAUUUCUAGUUCUAGUUUACAAGUCAAAGUCAACAUUAUGGACCAAAGUUCUUAGACGAAAAGCUCCUUAAGCCCAAUAGGUCCGAACUACACAAAGUGGGGCCCAACUUGGCAAAGCUUGCUAAUCAUUGAUGAAUACGAAAGAGACACUUAGCAAACAACAAAAAUUACAAAAUUACCCGGCGCCAGUGUCGGAGACCAAAGUGCCUUCGGUGAUCAGAAAGCCGCCGUUGGUUGACCUUUGAGUGUAGUACUCGGCCAGCGCCGGCUGCGGCAAGCCGUUCAACGCUCGGCACCUCGUCAUCGGCGCAAGCACCACCCUGCCAAGGUCAAAUCCGUCAAAACACACCCCAAAGCCAAACAAUUAAAUGAUAAUUAUGCCCUCCCGGAUUUCUCCCCGCUUUUUUCAAAUUCCCGAGGAAAUCGGAAACACCAAGUGGGACCAGAGUUUCAUGUCCGAUGAAAGAAAAAGAGGAGCAGCUAACUCGACUCGAUGCAGCCGCGAAACACUGGAUCAGGUAUGACUGACCUGUGAGACAGAUUGAACUUGCCCAUCUUGAACGGAGAAAAGAGAGUGGGUCCCUGAGAUGAAGCCUCCGCCAUUUUUAGUUCAGACACCGAUCUCAGAUCAAACGAUCGAAAGGCCAGAAAUGAAGUGAGAUCAAAGAAGAAUAAAAGGAGAGAGCUUUUAUAGGAGGAAGCAGUGGCGAUCGGCUCGGCUAUCAAGGGCCGUCUGCGAUCCGACGGCUGUGGUCGGUUUCUGAAGUGUCACCGUGCUAUGAUGCUUUGGCUGCUCUUGUUAGUGGGAUUUUAAUGGUGGUGGUCGGCAACUGUGGGCGGGACCCACAGAGGGAUGUUUCCAUUGCAACGGCAAUGAGAUUCACGUGCGGAUUUAUUUAUGGCCGGUGUCGUUUUGGUUUCUAACUUGGAAUGUUUAAGACGUGUUUGACCGUCGAGCGUUGACUGGACUCGGGUGUUGACGAUGCUGUAGUCUAGUCGGGUCGGGCACCGGCAGGAGAUUGAGUUGGGUUUUGAUUUUGAUAUUGGGCCAGUUACGCUCAUUAUGUCGAAUUUUUAAUGCAUGAGGGGCCUCUUUGGAAAUUGAGAGGCCUGGCCCACUAUUUUAUUCUUGUUGCAAUUGAAACCCCCAAAAUAAAAAUGCCAAAAAUGAGAUGACCAUUAAAAAUAGAAACCCUUGUUGUUUUCUUUUGUAAUGUUAUGUUGUUUAAGAGCACUGGCAGCGCAAGACCCAACCCGGGUAGAAGGGCCCCCAGGCGAGCCCAACACAGCUCCAGCGCGAGGAAGAGAGCCCAGGCAGCUGCUGGGUCCCACGAGCCCGGGCAGGCCCAAAGGCAACUUUAGCCUGGGCUUCAGCCCGAGUUGGAUGACGUCAUGCUGACGUCAUCCCUGACAGCAACCAACUGUAACAAGCCACGUGUCGCGCCAGGGACGCUCCGAUGGAUUUUUUUCCAGAAAUCCGACGGUCCUCGUUUUUUUUGCUAAAAAAAUUGCAAAAAAAUUCUGAAAAAUUCUGAAAUUUUUUUUAAAAAAUACCAAAAAAUUAUGUAUUUUUUCCCUAUAAAUACCUAACCAUUUUAUUUACUUUCCACACAAAAUCUUCAUACAAUUCUUCUCCAUCCCCAAUAUUUUUUACUCUCCACUCACAUUAUUCACUUUCCUCACCAAUUCUCCACACAAACUAUUCUCCUUCCAAUAUUUCUUACUCUUCACUCACAUUUUUCACUUCCCACACCAAUUCUCCAUACAAACUCUUCUCCUUCCAAUAUUUUUUAUCCUCCACUCACAUUUUUCUACUACUUUCCAUUUGUAAAAAGAAAAAAAAAAUCUUAUCUGAAAUAUGAGAUUAUAAUUUUUUUAAAAUAUCUGAAAAUCUUAUCUGACAUGGGACACGUGGUACAAUUUUAGAGGGUGAAAAUGUUAUAUGAAAUCUGAGAUUAUAAUUUUUUUUAAUGAAUAUCUGAAAAUUUUAUCUGGAAUAAGACACGUGGCAAUCGAGAUUCUCAUCCGAAAAUCUUUUCUUAAAACAAUGGACACGUGACAACCAAAAAUAUUAUCCGAAAAUUUAAUUACAAAAGAUUAUCAAAAUUAAUGGUUUAAAGUAUUAAAAAAAUAGGAAAUAAAGUACAAUGAAUAGUAUUUGCCCUAGACUUAGCCCUCAUGGGUGGAACCACAAAUGGCAAGGCUGCCACUAUUCAUGUGAAUAGUGACAGCCCUUGCUUGCCCUUGCCUUAGACUUUGCCCUUAGGGGUGGAGUUGCUCUAAGAGGUGGGAAAUAUUUUCAUCAACAAUUUUUGUAUCCGUCCGGCGCAGUGUGUCCGACACUAAUACAUAACACGAAUUCGACACUAGCAGAACAUAUUUUGUUGAUUAUAAAAAAAUAUAACAUGAAACAAAAUAUAUUGAUAUUGAUAUUUAAUUGAUGCGAUUGCGGUCUGAAUCUGGGACAAGGAUAAGCGUGUAAGCAAUGACUUUUCUUUUUCUUCUGGAUAAAAAUCUACAAUAUCAUUAUCAGUUAUCAUGAUGUAAAAAGAUUGGUAUCCUAUCCAUCCAUCCAUCCAUCCGCUAGAGAGAGACUCCCAAGAGUUGCAAAGGAAGACUGGUUUGAUUAUUUGUGGCCCCGAAGUCAGCAGCGAGCAGUUUGCCCUUUUGGGAAGAUGUACAUGCAUGGGAUGAAAAGUCAUAAAUAAACAGCACACCUCUGUGAUUUGACUGUUAAAUUCAAUUUCCAUUAUAAAUUAAAUAAAUAAAUUCAAUUGGGAUUCAAAGUCAAUUAAGAUUGGAUCCAAGACUUGCACAAAAAUUGAUAUGAGUAUAUUAUUGAAAAACUCCAUCCUUCUAGAUUUUUUUAUUUUUUAUUUAUUUUUUAUUUUUUCUUUUGAGUCAGUCUUUAUGUUCGAAUCUCUAUUGACAGUGUAGAUGAGAAAAUCUUUUUCUCCAAUAUCACUUAUAUAUAUGUAUAUAAUAUAAAAAACUCAUAAUUAUGGUUGGUUAGAUUCUGUCUUGCAUAGAUCAAUCUCUAUCCCAUAUUUAUGGUAAAGCUAUUUUCAUUCACAUGCACUCCUCAAUGGACAAAUCAUAAUAAUUUGCUUUCUUGCAAAUUUGGUUUGUCUCUAUUUUGCUAUGGUGUUGUUGGUAGGUGCAAUUAAGAAUGUUGAAAGCUUAAAACAGAUAAAAAUGGCUAAGGUACAACCCACAGUGUUUUGUUGCCCUAGCAAUGAUGUAGUCAUGUUGGUGAUCAGACUUGGAGCUAUCUCAAACUGAAGUGGUGUGUGGUCCCCACUCCUACAACAUGAGUAGGAAGGGAACAACUUUGUCACACCCUCAUCAUACCACACACAUCCAUGUCCAACUCUCUAAAUCAUGAAAAAUAAAAAAGGAAAUACAAAAAAUACCAACAAAAAAAAUUAUGAGUUAAAAUAUAAAUACCCUUUGAGUGAAAAGAAAAAAACCCAUUGAGCCACGUGUCCCGGUACCACUGUAUGCGGUGCAAGCGUCUACACCUCACCAACCCCCCGCUACGUCCCAAAAAUCUCCACUGAAGAAUGGCGCAGUGCGCGCCGUGUGUACCAGAUAGAGAGGGCAACGCCGCUUGUAAAUAUAUUAUUAUUAUUAUAAAAAAAAAAACUACGAAAAUUCGACAAAAUAAAUAUAAAAUUAGGAGCAAGGCGGGGCCCAGUGGGAUGCACUGCAUAGGAUGCCCAUCGUACAUCUGUUACCAAACAGGCAGAAAAAAGGGUACUCUUUUGUGAGUCCAAUUUUUCUGUUUCUAAUUUCCAUGUGCACUCCAUGUUUCCUAUCUUAUGUUUUUUUACACCAAUCUCUCCACUAAUUUCUAACUUCAACACUGUUAACUUAAAUUAAAAAAACAAAAAUUAAACAGCCGCCACCGCCCCCCACCCAUCCAACAUGGUCAGCCAUCCACCCCAUCGGCGCCAAGAAGGAGAUGAGAAGAGAUGUGAGAGGAGAGGGGUUGCCGAUGGUGGGGUUGGGUAGGGGCUGUGGUGGCUGUUGGGUGUUUAUUUUUCCUUUAAUAAUUAACUUUUAUUUUGUUAAUUUUAUUUAAAGUUAGAAGUUAAUGAGUGACAAGUGUCAAAAAAUUAGAUGAAAAACAGGAUGGCACAAGGAAAUUGAAAUAGAAAAAAAUUGACCAGAAUAGUAAAACAGUGCUAUCCCUUUUUACGCAUGUUUCUCCAAACAGACCUGUAAAUAAUCCGGAAUAAGAAAAAGUUCACACCGUUACGCGCAAAAACACAAACCAAGCAAACAAGGAAAAAAGCAACUGCCGUUACUCUGACCGUCCCUCGUUUUUCUUCUUCGCAGCUUUUUUUAUUCUUUUUUCGACGCACAUGAGGCCUCUCUAUAUAGAGAUAUAUAUAUAUAUAUAUAGUUAAAUGAUUUAUUUUCUAAGUUUUGGUUCGUAAUUUCAUUUAAUUUUUGGUCCGGAAACUCUUCGCAAUUAAACUAAUUGAUUAAAGUUUAAAGCGGAUUAAUUUAUCACCAUCAUCCUCGCUCUCUUCUCCAUUUCGUUUCUUUGAGGAGAAGCAGAAGAACGAAAGCUUUGUUAUGGCCGCCGGAGAUUUCUCUCUCUGAAAUUCUUUCUUGAAUUUUAAGGGAAUUCAGAGGUGGGUUUAUAGUUUUGUAUUUCUCUGAGUUUAUUGUGUGCCAUGUUCGAUUUUCUAUAUUCUAAAGUUGCAAUCUUUUCCUUUUUCAUCCUGAUAAUAAAUUUUCAAUUUUACAAUAAAUAAUUGGUCUGCUAUGCUUGAAUUGUAUGGUAUCUUGUUGAACAUCAUCCAAUAUAGCAAGCAAAAAGUGAAAUUUGUUCUCUUUCUCUCUUAUAUCUGGGGGUUCAGGGAGCUUGUGUAACUGAAACAGCUGGAUAUAAGAAAGUUAACUGAUCAAUUUUAAGACAAAAAGAAUAACGUUUAAAGUCUUUAGCUUUUGAGUUAACAUCUAGCUCAAGAUUAUUAAUCUUUUGUUUCAAAUUGUUGGAAAAUCAUAUAUCUUUGUCUAUGUUUAUAUGUUCAUGUGUUGGAAAUUCUUGUAGAGUUCAGGAAUACUUGUAAAGUUAAAAGCAUGGUUGCAGUGAACAUCAAAGGUUCAAGAUUUAAGUAGGAAUAGCAUGAAAUUAAUUGUUCCAGAGUUCCUGCUUUGAAUUAUAAAGUAUCCCUGCUCUAUGUGUUCACAGUUUCCUGUGUUAAUUGUACUUGUAGCGGGACAGUCUUGAUAAUUAGAAAUAUCAAUGGUUUUGCUAAUGACUUGUAUUGUUGAAGCUUUGAAUCUUUGUUAAUGUUGAAUUUUUUGAUAGGAGGGAAGCCUUUUUGUAUGGAUAAAGAAGAAGAAACUGGUAGCCCUAGUUGGGGUGCUUCGUUUUUCGCACAAACGGAAGAUGUUGCUAGAGCAGUUGCUGCUGUAGCAGCCGCUGCUACUGCCACUCAUUCUCCGAGGCCAUCUGUUGUAUAUUCAUCAAACGAUGAUGGUGGUAAUAGCCCACUUAAAAGACUACAACGCCAUGUUACAAAUGUGCUAAAAGGUUUCUCACAUCCUCCUGAAGUGAAACGUGGAACCUACAAUCCAGAAGUUUUGACUAGCCAGAAGCGCCAAUGGGCAAGCUUUCAGUUGCAGUACUUGGUAUGCAAUUUUGUUAAUUGGUUGCUUAUUUUAUUUCUUAUUUGUGUAUGCAAUUCAGAAAUUGAUUAAUCAAGAAUCAAAGAUGAUUUUUUGUUUUAUUUUUCUUGUUUACAUUGGAACAUCUUUCACGUUCAACAGCUAUACAGCUAUUUCUAAUUACAGUUGUUACUUCAUAUUUUUCUUUUAAAAUUUUUAGAAUAGAACAAUUUAAGGAAAAAUGACAAUUAUAUAUGCUCGCUGUGAGUUUAAGGGUCAUAUGAUACCCUGAGACAUUUUUGUCUGAUAGUUCAGCGGUCAUAUGAUAACCUGAGACAUUUCUUCUUAAAAGUUCAGGGUUUCUGUAUUGUUAGUUUUGAAAUACAUUCACAUAUGAAACAAAAAUUUCAUCCAAAGAGAUUCUGUAACACCUCUGCUAUUUAAGUGUGCAGGAUCAUAGGUCUUUAAAGCUGCCGACAAGGCUUUUCGAGAGCAUGGUUGUUUUGGGGCUUCACCCAAAUUGUGAUGUUCAGGCACUUCAAAGGCAAUAUAUUGCAAGAAAGCAUGAGGGUUUAGGAAGAUUGCGCAGUUCACGUAGUAGUCAGAAUUUCUCUCGUGUGGAACCCAAUCUUGAACCUCAGGUGGGGAUUCUUGUUGCCAAAUAUUCAAUUUGUUUGCAUAUUGACGCUUGCAAGCAAUUUGAGUAGUGGGUAUUAAUAUUCAUUUCUACUUCCAGGUGUUAUUUGUUUAUCCUCCGGAAAAGCAGGUGCCUCUACAAUACAAGGAUCUCCUUUCAUUUUGCUUCCCUGGAGGCGUAGAGGUAAGGUGUUCUCUUGAUGGAUGUUUUGCCACUUGUUCUGUUUAAUUGAUCAGUUUAAUUUUAGGGAUUUAAGAUGGAUGAGCUUUUUCUUUUUUUCUCCUUAAAUCUAUUUAAGAGGAACUCCUUUUGUAAAGCUUAGGUUACAGAGAAUGAUUAUAUAACUUAGCUUGAUCUCGAUGGUAAUAUUUACAAGGGUAAAAUACCUGAGCCUUUAAAUAUUGGAGAUGUUUACCUGAUAGGUUUGAAUGUAUUGUGUUAAUGUCUGUAUUUGAGAAGAAUUUCAGAUAACAAAUAAUUGAUAUUCUGAAUUAGUAUGCUUAUAUUGCUAAGGUUUUCGCAGCUUUUAUAUGGAGAACUUCUUCCGUUUAAGGAAAGUGGGGCCAGUUGUGUAAAUAUCAUAGUGCAAUAGCAACUUGAGUUUAGCCUGAUUUCUUGAUCUUCAGUUAAAUAAUAUCAUAGGCAAUAAAAGAGACGUUAUAUCAAGUUUUACUUGAUUAUGACUAGUACUUGGUGAGAGAUGUUAUUUUUGUCCUAUGUGCAGAUAUUGAUUUGUCUUGUUAAUAUUGUGUAUUUGUUAGUUAAGAUCUAGUUAGUCAUUAUGUGCUAAUAUUAACACCUUGGAUGUGAAUGGCUUCAGGUUCAUGCUGUUGAGAGAACUCCUUCUAUGAGUGAGUUGAAUGAAAUUCUUUUGGGGCAGGUAUAGUGCUACAUUAUGCUCCCAUAAUGUUGUCGAUUAAUGAUUAUGGACACUUAUAUUGACUAUGAUGAUGCUUAUUUGCAGGAGCAUUUUAAACGGACCGAUCUGUCCUUUGUAUUCCGGUUACAGGUAAAUUAUAGCAUGUUAUGUCUCCAGGAUUCCUUUUUCCUUGGAUUUUCCCCUGAUAUGUUUCAAGAUUUCUUUAUAACUUUAAUUCCCUGUGGCAGUUUCCAUUUGACUUAUAAACCCCUACACUAGUAGUGCUGGAUGAUAGAAUCAUCACUGCAGCCUGAAAAUUAUAAUUCAAACAACUUUUUGUCUAGUUGACUGCAAUUAUUAUUUGAGUUGUAUUUGUUCCCACAGAGAAGAAGAUUGGUAACAAAAUGCGAAGCAAAUUUAAGAGGAUUGAUUGUCUUCGUUAUCUUUGAUUAGAUUUAUAUAUGUUUAAAAUGUCAUUAAAAUUAACAGAUGUUAGGUAAGCCUAUUUCUACUUCAUGUGUAUGAACAGUUUAAUUUUUAGUUGUGAAUUAUGCUCAUUUCCUGGAUGACCCAUUUUGUACAAUAUUGGUUUGAAGGUUGCUGAUGACUCAACAUUGUAUGGAUGCUGCGUGUUAGUGGAGGAGCUAGUGCAAAAACCUUCUGGAUUGCUUUCCAUGAUAGCAGAGAAACAUCCUUCUCGCCCAUCUUUGAGUCGCCAUAUAUUAACCACUAAGAGAUGCUAUUGCAUUCUCUCAAGGGUUCCCUCAUUUGAAUUACAUUUUGGUGUAUUGAAUAGGUGUGUUUAUGUCAUAUUGAAUGCUUAUAAAAAACAUAUUUAUCUCAGUGAUUUGCGUUUUUCAUUUUAACUUUGAAAUGUAUUCUAAUCCCCUCUAGACUUUCGUAUAAUUAAUGUGUUCCUCUGCUAUCUAAUCAUGCAUGAAGUUGAAGAUCGUAUUAUUAAAUUGUCUGAGAAAAAAAAAAAAAAGAGAUUCAUUUCUUAGUUCAGUGAGAAAAAAGAAAUUGUAGCAACUUCAAUAGAACACAUAAAAGCUUUUAACUACCAGUUUAUCACAAGAUCCAAAUUUAUUGAGCGACUGGUGCAUGGUUUUGUGUGAGGGGAAUGUGUAUGCUCCACUGUUUGGCCCCAUAAUUUGACAUUCUUCUUUUACUAUUUGAUACCAACAUAUAACUUUGCAAUUCAUCUGUUGCUCAACUUGACUAUGUUUGCUAUUCCCCUGUAGCAUCUUCACAGAAGAAAGGUUGGAACGAUUAACGAAAGGUAUUGAUCUUUUAGAUUUAGAAACCCCAAAGGAUUAUGGCAAUGGCGAAAUUUUAGAAGAAAAUACAGAAGAAACUUCACACAGCGUAUCACUAAGUAGUAGAACUGAGGAGAACAUGGUGAAUAGAACAGCAGAGUUUUCUCAAUCAAGUUUAAAAGAUUCUUCAUUUGGGAGAGUUGCAGAUAAUGGCAUUCACCUAGAGAAUCAAAUGCUUGAUGGGGAUUUUAACUUGUUGAAGGGAAGGGUGAUUGAAAACGUUGUUGUUCCAAUUGAUCCUGAAACCAAGACGGCCAGUUCCAAGAGAGAAUCUGAUGUUGCAAAUGCUGAAGUUUCUGAGGUCUAUGUUGAUGAUUUCUCUGCAAACAAGCAAACUGUAGAAAGGCGAUUACCAAACGCUGUUCUACCUCUCCUGCGUUAUUAUCAGUAUGAAAGCUCUGAAUCUUCCUCCAGGUAGAUCAUUGUUGUUCUUUGGUGCCUUUUCACUUGUAUUUCAUGCUUUUUAUUACUUGCAUUAGUAGUUAUUAUCUUUUCUCUCUCUCACUAAUUCUUGGAGCAGAGAAUUGCACUUUUUUCUUUGAGCUACUUCAAGUUGCUGCACUCAUGCCAUUUAUUAGUGUUUUAUGCAGUUUUCAGGGCUCUCCCAGCGAGGACAGAAAUUUUAGGAGUGAUGUUGAUGAUACAGAGACGGAAGAGGCAUCUUUCUCUGGCCAAGAUGAUUCUGACCUCAUUGAUAUUCUUGAAUGGGCUAAGGUGAAAAAUGAACUUUUCCUUUUUGGAUCUAGAUAUGAUUCUAAGCUCUUUGUAACAAGAAUCUUGUGCCCAGGCGUUCUCUUGACAAAUUUUUCCCAAAUUUUCAGGCAAACAAUCAUGGAUCAUUACAGAUAAUAAGCGAGUACUACCAAUUACGUUGCCCUGCUAGAGGUUCCACUGUUAGAUUUCAUCCUUUGGAGCACUUGCAUCCCUUGGAAUAUCAUAGACCAGAAACAACCGUUUUACAUAUUGCUGGCUCAACCAUUGAUUUGAGAUCGUGCAGUACAAGUCUAGAAUUUGCUGAGGUAGAUGGUGAUGAUAGCUUUAAGAAACUUUCCAAUUUGAUAUGUGGUGGAUUUGGUUGAACUUUUGAUUGAUUAUGUCCCGGUUCCAGACAUGAUUAAUCAUUCACAUUGCAUUGCUGUUGAUUAUUAUUAGGCACAGGGUGCACUCUCGGUAGAGGAGGAAGCAACUGCAUUAUCAGUAUGGGCUAUUGCAUGCAUAUGUGGCUCCUUACGGCUUGAAAAUGUUAGUUAAUGGCUCAACAUCACAUGAGUUCUACAGACUUCAUUGAUUAUAUUGUUAUCUUUUCCCGUUUCUUGGAACUAGUUAAUAGCUUGGCCAGUGCUAUUUAAAGUUUCUCAUAGGUUAACACUGUUUUGUUGAAAUAAUUUUUUUUAAUUAAACAAAAUGGAUUUAUUUGUUUUCAACCAACAAGGUAAAUUCGUUUUGUUAUGCUGACAGUUGAAACUGAUAGUGGCGUCUACACUUAUAAGCUAAUUGAAACUGUAGAAUUACUGCAUGAGUAAAACUGGCUCCAACAUUUACAACAUUUAUGAAGCGGGAAUCAAUUUAAAAUCUCCUCAAAGGAAUCAUUAAUUACAAUGUUGUAAGAGUGGAAUGAUAUCCUGCGUAUUAUUUGUGGGUAUUGUGCAGUGUCAGAAUGUUUUCGUUAGUAUAUUAUAUUGAAUGUACAGUUAUAUGAAUGCAUGUAGAUUUGUGUGUGCCUGCUUCAUGUCUGACUUUGGAUUAUUGAUUCUCCUCAUACUUCGCAGGUAUUAACAUUGUUUGCAGGAGCACUGUUGGAGAAGCAGAUUGUAAUUAUUAGUUCCAAUUUGGUAUGUAUUAUAAAUUAUAUCAAGUUUAUAAUGUUUUGAUGAAGAUUAUCAAUCUGAUGCAUGUAUUCUUUUUUACUCGAUGUAAAUUUUAUCAGAGAAAUUUAUUGGAUUUAUUAACAUCUUGCCAAAUGCAUGUUCCAAAACAGAACUGUAUAAGUAUCAACUGCUGCUUAUUUCGUAACAAGCUGAAAAAGCUCAACCCAAAUGAAUUUAGUUGGAGGUAGUAAAGAACUGUAUAAGUUAGCCUCAGGCUAUAGGUGCAAGUUUGAACUUCCAAAACAGAGUGGCUCCUUUCUCAACAAGUCCCAGCAAGCGAGGCCUAAGGACCAGUUACACCCAUUUAUGUUGUUUAUUAGAGAUAGCUUGGCUUAGGAACUUUUUUUGAGUGACACUAGUGUUGCCAUCAUUAUUAGAUCGUAGUUUUGUUUAUUUAUCAAAAGAUCGUAUUGUUACUGUUUCAUUUGCUUAUGUACUUAUUUUUCGGUAAGCUAAUAUUUUAAUAUGGGUGUGGACUGUUCCAUUAUUUUUAAAUUUGUUCUAAUAAUUUAGUUCUUUGACUAAGAAAAAAGAUCUACAAAAGAAUUUACAUCAAUGCUUUCUGAUGUACAGGGUAUCUUAUCUGCCUCAGUAUUGUCAAUUAUCCCUCUGAUCCGUCCCUACCAGUGGCAAAGCCUGCUAAUGCCGGUAUGUUUUCCUUCUAGCCUACUGCCUGUGAGAUUUGUCCCAUGAGAAGUUACUUUUUUUAAACAUAAUAAUUUCAUUGCUGUUUUCAUGUGAAUAACAAUGUGCAUAUACUUUCUAGGUUUUACCAAAUGACAUGCUGGACUUUUUGGAUGCACCUGUCCCUUACAUAGUGAGUUCUCAAUUUGUUGGCUGUUAUGCCUAUUAGUGCCAUGGAUUAUGAAUUCAUGUUUGUUGGUUUAUCUGGACUCUGAAUUUCCUCAAGUUAUUAGUUGAAAGCAAAAUUUUUUAAUCGUUCACCAUAUGAUUUAAUCCUUAUCUGUAGGUUGGUGUGAAGAACAAAACAAAUGAAGUGCAGUCAAAACUAGCCAAUGUAAUUCUAGUUGAUGCAAACAAGAACCAGGUCUGUUGUUUUUUAAGCAGUUGUAUUUUUCUACUUAUAUUGCAGCUCAAAUAUGUUCAGACUGGUUAUUAACCGUAUGCCUUACAAUAAACAAAGCAGAAAGUUUCUAUAUAUUAGUUUACCAUUUCCCAUGCUUAUGUAUUAUCUAGUUUUUUGGAAUGGCUAGUAUUUAUCAAAAUGCAAAAUAUUCCUCUAAAAACAAAUAAAAUGCGAGUGUCUGAUCCUUUUCCCAUUGUGUGAUCUAAUAGGUGAAGUCACCAACACUACCUCAGUUACCACAACAUAAGGAAUUAUUUUCAUCCUUAAGUCCUUAUCAUGCAAAGCUUGUGGGAGAGAGUUUUUUGGCUAGGAAAAGGCCAGUGUAUGAGUGCACAGCUGAACAGGUGUGUUCUGCUUUGUUCUUUUUUGUCUGAUUUCAAAGUUUUUAAUUAUUUACCAUUAUUCUCAUGUGUUUAUUUGCCGCAUGUAGGUUGAAGCUGCCAAGGGUUUCCUAUCAGUGUUAAGAACUUACUUGGAUUCUCUGUGCUCUAACCUCCGUUCACACACAAUUACAAAUGUACAGUCGAAUGAUGAUAAGGUCAGUUUGUUGUCCAACUGUGAUAGCUGAAAUGCUGUAUAAGGAUAUUUAGGUUUUUUUGACCUUCUUUGGAAUGAUGAGUGGUAAAUAUAAUCUUCCAGAAAAAUGGCCAGGCACACACUCACAGACACACUGCUAGUCAUUAGAUAAGCUAGACUUCACUAGUAAUGAUGAUUGCUGUAAAAGUUUAGGUAAUAUAUGUCCUGAAACAAAUAUCACUAUAUUAUUCUGUUACACUGAGGGUGCAAUGUUGGCUAAUGUUAUUUUUCAAAUUUAUUUUUGUAUGCUUUACUUGUGAUGGACUAAGUUCUGUUGAAGUGUCAAUGGAACCUCAGCAUAAUACAUCCUUAUAUCAUUCACUUCGUACCUUCAGUUAUGUUGAAUUGAUAAGUGCAGAUCAAUUUGUCAAUUCUUUUGAAUGUGAAAUGCUUGCUCAUAUAUCUAGUGACAUUCAUAUGUGAAUGCACAAUCAUAUGGUGACUUGUCUUGGAAGAAUCCAAAUGUAUUGCUGCUGAUCUGACACUGAUUUUCUUGUAAUUAGGUAUCCUUACUUUUGAAGGAGAGUUUCAUCGACUCGUUUCCUAGUCGUGAUCGACCAUUUAUGAAGGUGUGUUCCAUGACAUAAUUUUCUUUUGUUUCUCUGAGUUAACUGAACAGCCCAUUGGCUUGAUCAUUCUAUAGAAUUAGCUAGCUGUUGGGAUUUUAGUCUUAUGUAUUUCCUUAAGGUCAUUAUUAUUGUUAUCUUAUUUUUUAUUUUUGCCUAUUUUCUGAAAGUAGUUUAUAAUAGAUGGUGUUGGUUUCUGUGUUCUGUGUUCGUAUUUGGAUGAGUGUAGUAUAGGAUGUCACGCUGAAGGCAUCUAAGUUUUUAGUCGAGUCAUGUAGAUAAAUCACUGAUUUAACCUCCUUUUUCUCUUCGUUUUUGAAAGUGACUUGUAAUGAUUCUUACUUCAAUGCUUACUCGGGAUGCUCUUUAAAUUGUAAUACAGCGGAAAGCAUACUGAUGUUUCCUUUUCUCCCUAAAUGCUAUGCAGCUUUUUGUGGACACUCAACUCUUUUCUGUACAUACGGAUCUUGUUCUCUCAUUCUUCCAGAAGGAAUAGUCCUAAUCUGAACAUACGCCAUGCUGAGGUCUGGCAGUGAGUUAUAUUUUCCUGUUGUAACCUGAACGUAAGUUCGGUAUGAUGUCAAAUUAUUAAGUGACAUAAUAUUCAAGAACUCAAUCUGGCUUCUUGAAAUGGCACUUCUCUUCCCCAAAUGAAAGUUGCCUGCUUCGCAUCGCGGCAUUCUGUAUCAUGAUGAACUUGUAUUCCAGCAUAUGAGAGAACUCGCAGAAUUCUGGUAUCCCGCUUGAAGUGUAAAUAGUAAUUUUGUUUUAUUUACUUGAGUUAGUAAAACAUGACUGUUUCACCGUUCCGAUUUAAUAAAAAUUUAGCGGUUGGUUAUUGAGACAUACCCGCCUUAUGCUGUUGUUCGGUGUGGCAGGCUGGUGCUUAACUUCUUGAGGAUAUGCACAUUGGUUGUGUGGGGGCCUUUUUUUUUUUCUUUUUUUUUCCCCCCCGGAUCUUAAACUAAGUUACUUUGAAUGGUGCUAACUGCAACAUUUCCUAAAAUCCUGCAAACAAAAAUAUACAGAACUUUUUCUCCACCAAUUCGACUUUACGAAGUCUUGAAAAUUUUUAGGUUUCCUGGUUAAGUUUCAUGCCAAAUCUCAUGUAUAAUUCUUGGAAUGCAUUCAGAAAUUUUACAGAGUAAUUAAAAAGAAAGAAUAUCAUACAACUUUUGAAUACAGUAACAGUCCAGGUUAAAAUACAUUAACUUGGAGGGAAGUGAAAAAAACAAAAAAAGGGUGUCUUUCAACCAGUGGUUGGGGAUACUUGAAGGGAUGUUUUUGGCUCAAGUGGGAUCAAUAUAAAAUAAAAAUAAAAAAAGGGGAAAGGUCGGUUUGCAUUGCAUGUGUUUCAGCCUGCCAGGUGAUCCAAGAACAGUGCUAGACAAUACCCUACUUGUGCAAUUUCCGAACGUACAAUACAAGAAUAGUUUCAGGGGCAAAUAAAUGCAACCAAACAUUAGGAACUCUCUUAAAUACUUUGGUUUUUUUGUUUUACUUUUAACACCCCAGCACCACCACCACUUUCAUUGAAUUCAGUUAUAUCAUCACUAUGAGGGUCCUAAUAAUGCAAGUCUUGGUCACCGCCAAUUCAAAGAUGGCCUUCUUCUAUUUUCAAAGUCAAUAUAUAUGUCUCUAUUAUUCUCAAACCCCCAAGUCAAAGUAUAACUAUAAGAGGAAAAGGAAACGCAGAGAAUAUAUUUUUCUCUUAUUUGUUUACAACUUUGGUCUGAGUUGUGAUGUAAUCUAAAUCAGAGAAGCAGUGUCUUCUGUUUACAAGUCUUGAACUUUGACUUGUUCCCUUGGUUGGUCAGUCACUUCACUUGUAUGCUUGCAAACCACUUAAGAUUAAAAAUAAAAAAAGUUUACUUGUAUUGUAUGCUUGCAAGCCACUGAUGAUCAUGGGCCUGCCUCCUGCCACAGGCCAAGGAAACCCAUUUAUUGAAGACUUGGAGUGAAAAGUUUCAUGUAUUUUAUUGCUCUCAAGUUCUCAACAAGGUUAGAGUUCUUCUGAUAAAAGUUUAUAACUUUAUAAGCUAAAGUGAACUGAGAAAAAAAGAAAACUCCUGUCCUUUGGAUCAGUAAUGACCCUUAAUCAUAAGGUUCAAAUCAACGGUUAAGAUCUGCACACUAGUUUAUAAUGCAGGAAAAAAAGAAACUUGUCUGAAGAAGAAGAAGAAAGA